Molecule: ribosomal RNA, 453 nt
Filed under: Triticum aestivum (bread wheat)
Lineage: Eukaryota; Viridiplantae; Streptophyta; Magnoliopsida; Poales; Poaceae
Description: partial small subunit ribosomal RNA
Source: RNAcentral
AUGUACUUGGCAGAUGAAUGCAGCAGUACAGGGCUGGCAGAGGCGAGGCAGGGCCCACGCGGAAGGUUGAAACAGUCAACGGGCGAAGCUGGACUUGGUGCUGGCUCGCGGAUCCAUGUAGUGAGACAAGGCAGGGGUGCAGUGCGGCGGGACUGCAAUGGCUUGACGCAAGCAGGGCGCCGCGGCUCCGAGAACAUGGCGGGGCGGCAGAGCCACGGGGGAAACCGCGAUCCACCGGAUCCUGGCAGAGCACGCCGGCGGCGACGUCAUUCGCUGGAGAAGCACGGAGCGGGCACGGCGAUGGUGGCAUGGAAGGCGAAGCUAGCGAAGGAGCUUGAGGGCGCGGGUGCCAUGGCGCUGAGCAACGAGCUACUGCUGCUCGAUGUAGACAGAGGCAGCCAGGGGACGGAGUUGGAGGAGGACUGCGCUCCCGCAGUUGAAGACGAACGGUGA